GGGCGGCUGGCGCAGAGGGAGCGCGCUUCCCUGACACGGAAGAGGUCGCUGGUUCGAUCCCAGCGUCGCCCA
This 72-nucleotide transfer RNA is filed under the name Aeriscardovia aeriphila. It matches the Rfam family "tRNA". Rfam says of the family: Transfer RNA (tRNA) molecules are approximately 80 nucleotides in length. Their secondary structure includes four short double-helical elements and three loops (D, anti-codon, and T loops). The record is from Rfam by way of RNAcentral. Lineage: Bacteria; Bacillati; Actinomycetota; Actinomycetes; Bifidobacteriales; Bifidobacteriaceae.